Molecule: ribosomal RNA, 495 nt
Filed under: uncultured bacterium
Lineage: Bacteria
Description: partial 16S ribosomal RNA
Rfam family: Bacterial small subunit ribosomal RNA
Source: RNAcentral
GACGAACGCUGGCGGCGUGCCUAAUACAUGCAAGUAGAACGCUGAAGGAGGAGCUUGCUUCUCUGGAUGAGUUGCGAACGGGUGAGUAACGCGUAGGUAACCUGCCUGGUAGCGGGGGAUAACUCUUGGAAACGAUAGCUAAUACCGCAUAAUAGCAGUUAUUGCAUGAUAACUGUUUGAAAGGUGCAAUUGCACCACUACCAGAUGGACCUGCGUUGUAUUAGCUAGUUGGUGGGGUAACGGCUCACCAAGGCGACGAUACAUAGCCGACCUGCGAGGGUGAUCGGCCACACUGGGACUGAGACACGGCCCAGACUCCUACGGGAGGCAGCAGUAGGGAAUCUUCGGCAAUGGACGGAAGUCUGACCGAGCAACGCCGCGUGAGUGAAGAAGGUUUUCGGAUCGUAAAGCUCUGUUGUAAGAGAAGAACGAGUGUGAGAGGGGAAAGUUCACACUGUGACGGUAUCUUACCAGAAAGGGACGGCUAACUACGUG